GGAGGUAAAUUUCUCCUAAGGCUAAAUAUUGGCCAGAGACCGAUAGCGCACAAGUAGAGUGAUCGAAAGAUGAAAAGCACUUUGGAAAGAGAGUUAAAAAGCACGUGAGAUUGUUAAAAGGGAAGGGAUUGCAACCAGACUUGCUCGCGGUGUUCCGCCGGUCUUCUGACCGGUCUACUCGCCGCGUUGCAGGCCAGCAUCGUCUGGUGCCGCUGGAUAAGACUGGAGGAAUGUAGCUUCGAU
Molecule: ribosomal RNA, 243 nt
Filed under: uncultured fungus
Lineage: Eukaryota; Fungi
Description: partial 28S ribosomal RNA
Rfam family: Eukaryotic large subunit ribosomal RNA
Source: RNAcentral